Molecule: ribosomal RNA, 495 nt
Filed under: uncultured bacterium
Lineage: Bacteria
Description: bacterial SSU rRNA
Rfam family: Bacterial small subunit ribosomal RNA
Source: RNAcentral
GGGCUUCGGCCCUGAUAGAGUGGCGAACGGGUGAGUAACGCGUGGGUGACCUACCUUCGAGUGGGGGAUAACGUUCCGAAAGGAGCGCUAAUACCGCAUGAAGUUCCGGGUUUGAACAUCUGGAAACCAAAGCCGGGGAUCGCAAGACCUGGCGCUUGGAGAGGGGCCCGCGUCUGAUUAGCUAGUUGGCGGGGUAAUGGCCCACCAAGGCGACGAUCAGUAGCCGGCCUGAGAGGGCGGACGGCCACACUGGGACUGAGACACGGCCCAGACUCCUACGGGAGGCAGCAGUGGGGAAUUGUUCGCAAUGGGCGCAAGCCUGACGACGCAACGCCGCGUGGGGGAUGAAGGUCUUCGGAUUGUAAACCCCUGUCGAGCGGGACGAAUGACUCGCGACCUAACACGUCGUGGGAAUGACGGUACCGCUAAAGGAAGCCACGGCUAACUCUGUGCCAGCAGCCGCGGUAAUACAGAGGUGGCAAGCGUUGUUCGGAA